GUUUCACAGAGCCGGGCUCUUUCAACAUCAAGCUGGGAGAAGCAGGCUCGCUGGUUCUUCAUCAGUAUUAACUGCAUACCUCUGGGAGGGGAAGGAGGCAUCGGCUGUGGAGGUUACCCUACAGUGCUCGGCCAGGUGCAGUAACCCAAUCUGUCUCCGGAGGGCAGGAAGAGGAGAGGAGAGAAGAGGAAGUGGCUCCCAUCCCAGCUCCGGUAGAAAGGAAGGGAUCCUGACCCUGCUGUGCCCCACUGCCCCCAGCCAGAACGUCGUUCUGGGGACCAACCUCCCGCCACACCCUAUUGUCCUUGGCUGGCUCCUUGCUCUGGGGACUACCCCCUCUGUGUUCCAUUGCCCCCGACUGGCCCCUCGCUCUGGGGGUACCCCAUGGAGAACAAAGGCCUGGUGAGAUCAGCCUCCCUGCACCAGUCUCUACAGCACUUGUAUGAGCCCUAAUUUAAAGGUGGCCCAGAAGGGGCUGAGAACAGAAUCUAGAAGGUGGGCUGAAGAGUAACCCAAAAGGGGCAGAAGAAUUGUUAGUCUGACCUUCUGGUUGGACCUUUGCGAUCCAAGGGAGAGACUGAACUUUAAGUGUGACCAGGCCGUAGCGCCAGGUUGCUCGAAGAGGACGACCACUGCAGAACAGAUCGGCCAACAAAAGGAAGUGCAGG
Molecule: long non-coding RNA, 668 nt
Organism: Mauremys mutica (yellowpond turtle)
Lineage: Eukaryota; Metazoa; Chordata; Testudines; Geoemydidae
Exons: 3
Source: RefSeq, a predicted model, not a curated record